Molecule: ribosomal RNA, 396 nt
Filed under: Proteus mirabilis
Lineage: Bacteria; Pseudomonadati; Pseudomonadota; Gammaproteobacteria; Enterobacterales; Morganellaceae
Description: bacterial LSU rRNA
Rfam family: Bacterial large subunit ribosomal RNA
Source: RNAcentral
AACCGUGUACGUACAAGCAGUAGGAGCCCCAUCACUCAAGUGCCUCGCACUGAGUGAUGCAAGAACAUCACCGAAAAUAGCGCCGAAUUUGCUAACAAGGUUGGUCGAUUUUUUCAAGCCGUCGCGCAGUGUACCUAGAAGUACACGAGCAACGGAAGUUAAAAAAUCGGGCAAGAUUGAACGCAAAGGAAAGCGGGACAUUUGAGGAUGGGGUGACUGCGUACCUUUUGUAUAAUGGGUCAGCGACUUAUAUUCUGUAGCAAGGUUAACCGUAUAGGGGAGCCGUAGGGAAACCGAGUCUUAACUGGGCGAAUGAGUUGCAGGGUAUAGACCCGAAACCCGGUGAUCUAUCCAUGGGCAGGUUGAAGGUUGGGUAACACUAACUGGAGGACCGAA